Molecule: ribosomal RNA, 435 nt
Filed under: uncultured Lachnospiraceae bacterium
Lineage: Bacteria; Bacillati; Bacillota; Clostridia; Lachnospirales; Lachnospiraceae
Description: partial 16S ribosomal RNA
Rfam family: Bacterial small subunit ribosomal RNA
Source: RNAcentral
ACGGAAGGCAGCAGUGGGGAAUAUUGCACAAUGGAGGAAACUCUGAUGCAGCGAUGCCGCGUGAGGGAAGAAGGUUUUAGGAUUGUAAACCUCUGUCUUUGGGGACGAUAAUGACGGUACCCAAGGAGGAAGCUCCGGCUAACUACGUGCCAGCAGCCGCGGUAAUACGUAGGGAGCGAGCGUUGUCCGGAAUUACUGGGUGUAAAGGGAGUGUAGGCGGGACUACAAGUCAGAUGUGAAAACUAUGGGCUUAACCCAUUAGACUGCAUUUGAAACUGUGGUUCUUGAGUGAAGUAGAGGUAAGCGGAAUUCCUAGUGUAGCGGUGAAAUGCGUAGAUAUUAGGAGGAACAUCAGUGGCGAAGGCGGCUUACUGGGCUUUAACUGACGCUGAGGCUCGAAAGCGUGGGGAGCAAACAGGAUUAGAUACCCUGGUA